RNAcentral lists this ribosomal RNA (252 nucleotides) under uncultured bacterium. RNAcentral describes it as "partial 16S ribosomal RNA". It matches the Rfam family "Bacterial small subunit ribosomal RNA", at positions 524 to 776 of the family's 1533-position model. The record is from RNAcentral.
UACGAAGGGGGCUAGCGUUGCUCGGAAUCACUGGGCGUAAAGCGCACGUAGGCGGAUUGUUAAGUCAGGGGUGAAAUCCUGGAGCUCAACUCCAGAACUGCCUUUGAUACUGGCGAUCUCGAGUCCGGGAGAGGUGAGUGGAACUGCGAGUGUAGAGGUGAAAUUCGUAGAUAUUCGCAAGAACACCAGUGGCGAAGGCGGCUCACUGGCCCGGUACUGACGCUGAGGUGCGAAAGCGUGGGAGCAAACAGG